AACCUACCAGAAAGCCAAUCUCAGUUCGGAUUGUAGGCUGCAACUCGCCUACAUGAAGUUGGAAUCGCUAGUAAUCGCGAAUCAGAAUGUCGCGGUGAAUACGUUCCCGGGUCUUGUACACACCGCCCGUCACACCACGAGAGUUUACAACACCCGAAGUCAGUGGCCUAACCGCAAGGAGGGAGCUGCCUAAGGUGGGGUAGAUGAUUGGGGUGAAGUCGUAACAAGGUACC
RNAcentral lists this ribosomal RNA (233 nucleotides) under uncultured bacterium. RNAcentral describes it as "partial 16S ribosomal RNA". It matches the Rfam family "Bacterial small subunit ribosomal RNA", at positions 1266 to 1500 of the family's 1533-position model. The record is from RNAcentral.